RNAcentral lists this ribosomal RNA (506 nucleotides) under uncultured bacterium. Its description in RNAcentral is "partial 16S ribosomal RNA". It matches the Rfam family "Bacterial small subunit ribosomal RNA", at positions 30 to 523 of the family's 1533-position model. The record is from RNAcentral.
AUUGAACGCUGGCGGCAGGCCUAACACAUGCAAGUCGAGCGGCAGCGGAAAGUAGCUUGCUACUUUGCCGGCGAGCGGCGGACGGGUGAGUAAUGUCUGGGAAACUGCCUGAUGGAGGGGGAUAACUACUGGAAACGGUAGCUAAUACCGCAUAACGUCGCAAGACCAAAGAGUGGGACCUUCGGGCCUCUUGCCAUCAGAUGUGCCCAGAUGGGAUUAGCUAGUAGGUGGGGUAACGGCUCACCUAGGCGACGAUCCCCAGCUGGUCUGAGAGGAUGAACAGCCACACUGGAACUGAGACACGGUCCAGACUCCUACGGGAGGCAACAGUGGGGAAUAUUGCACAAUGGGCGCAAGCCUGAUGCAGCCAUGCCGCGUGUAUGAAGAAGGCCUUCGGGUUGUAAAGUACUUUCAGCGGGGAGGAAGGUGUUGAGGUUAAUAACCUCAGCAAUUGACGUUACCCGCAGAAGAAGCACCGGCUAACUCCGUGCCAGCCGCCGCGGUAA